AUGUGCCAUGGUUGCAUCUUCCCUAGCAGAUGCGGCCGGUGUGCCAUUUGCACCGCCAAUGCGACCUACGCCGUCCACAAUUGGUCUACUCAUCCAUUCUUCACGGGCAGUCCGUCGGCUCGCUCCCUAGCAGUCCAUGUGGGCAGCCAUCUCUCCUCGCUGUUAUGUUUCUCAUCGCAAUUGUCGUCAGUCCAUCGACAUCAAGGCAAUCCUACCGCAGCAGAUGUGUUCGAGGUCGGCUACCUCCUCAGCGUCGAGGUCUCCCACCAAGCCGAGCAUGCCACUGCUCCAUCCUUCGUGAAGAUGUAG
This 309-nucleotide ribosomal RNA is filed under the name Triticum aestivum (bread wheat). RNAcentral's name for it is "partial small subunit ribosomal RNA". Lineage: Eukaryota; Viridiplantae; Streptophyta; Magnoliopsida; Poales; Poaceae. The record is from RNAcentral.